RNAcentral lists this transfer RNA (77 nucleotides) under Bacillota bacterium. RNAcentral describes it as "Firmicutes bacterium (anaerobic digester metagenome) tRNA-Asp". It matches the Rfam family "tRNA". Rfam says of the family: Transfer RNA (tRNA) molecules are approximately 80 nucleotides in length. Their secondary structure includes four short double-helical elements and three loops (D, anti-codon, and T loops). Further hydrogen bonds mediate the characteristic L-shaped molecular structure. tRNAs have two regions of fundamental functional importance: the anti-codon, which is responsible for specific mRNA codon recognition, and the 3' end, to which the tRNAs corresponding amino acid is attached (by aminoacyl-tRNA synthetases). tRNAs cope with the degeneracy of the genetic code in two manners: having more than one tRNA (with a specific anti-codon) for a particular amino acid; and 'wobble' base-pairing, i.e. permitting non-standard base-pairing at the 3rd anti-codon position. The record is from RNAcentral. RNAcentral also lists the same sequence under 3 other names. Lineage: Bacteria; Bacillati; Bacillota.
GGGGCCGUGGUGUAGCGGUUCAACACGCCGGCCUGUCACGCCGGAGAUCGCGGGUUCGAAUCCCGUCGGUCCCGCCA